Molecule: long non-coding RNA, 6678 nt
Filed under: Homo sapiens (human)
Lineage: Eukaryota; Metazoa; Chordata; Mammalia; Primates; Hominidae
Description: HSALNT0269872
Source: RNAcentral
ACGGCUGUCACCCAUGAAUUUUGCUAAAACCUUUCGGGAAAUUGUUUAUAUUUUCAGCUGAACAACCUCUUGGGGUAAUGAGUUUCCAUAACAACUAAUGGGUGGCCAGCGUGCUUCCGCCCUGGGCUGGGGACCGCGUGCUCUUUGAUUCGCAUCAGCAGCGGCUGAUGGCCCCUCAAGUGGUUCCUGUUUGCUGUCUCCCAGCAUUGCGGCAGGUAGGCGGGGUGCAGCACAGGGCACAGGCCCCUGGGCCUCAGUGCCUCCGACGUGCCAGUUCCGGCUGUGGCGGCGGGGGGGUUGCGGUGUGCCUGGGCCUUUGGCUUUGCCCCGACCACCCUCUAACAGGGCUCUGCCCGCUCUUGGAGGUGAAGGGUACACUUGUGCCUGGAAGCUGAUGGAAAGGGCUUCUGAAUGGACUGCAAGCAACUGGCUCAGUGGUCACCUCUGAAGUCAAAUAAAGGGAAAAGUUUGGAGCACAAGAAAAUGAGUACAUAGAUCAAAGUGUCCAUGUCCCAUGUCCAUGUCUGGCAUUUUCUCUGCCUUAUGUCCCUGAUGGUGGGGGAAGAGAAGGGAACAGAUUUACAGAGACCCGGACAGCUCACCUCCAAUAGGAGCCAUAUAUCCCAGUGGACUGGACGCACCCAACACGGAGGCAGCAGCCGAGACUUACACCGCAAGGCCUUGGCUGGCUCUAUUGGGCCAGGACCCCAUACUGGGAGUGCGGGGUAGGGGCAGGUUGAAUUCAGUUUCCAGAGUCAGGCCCCUGUCAGAGGGGGGAAGUGAUUGUGAAAUAUUUUAAAUGCACAGAGAUGAGCUGAUGGACAGGUCUUAAUGAAGGAUUAAAUGGACACGUUUAAGAGCCUGGAAAGCACCAGGCAGAGUUCCAUGGCCCCAGAAUAACUGCAUUGUCUCUGACCUUUUCUGUCUUGGGAACAUGCACAGCUUUAGCUGAAAGAACUGAGCUCAUGGCACCAGUUUCAACCCCUCGCUUCCGGGGCCUCAGUUCUGGACAAGGCCAGGUUGUCCCAUUGCCCCAGAGGGCCCUUUGGCUGAACUCAGAAGCCUCAUGGCACCAGCUACCUUCUUUUCAAAUCCAAAGCUGCCUGGAGGUGCCCCCAGCGUGGACAAGGGCAGCCUGAGGACUCCACUAAUAGCUAUGGGAGGAUCACUCACUUUAGGAUCAGCCUGCCAGGACCUCUGCUCCCUCAUGUGUAAAAUGAGCAGCUCCAGAGAGCUGAACCCAGACUCACAAAGUGUCACUGCUGAGCGGGCUCCACAGCACUGCCUCUCAUGCAUUCAUGCACUCACGUGACCUACUCCGUGCCAGGCCAGGGGCUCGGUGUGGAGAUGCAGGGCUGGAAGAGCACAUCCUGGUGCAGCAGGCAGUUCGUAAGCAGGAAUUCAAAUCUCCUCUGUGCCUUUGCAAAGCAACAUCCAUCUUGAACAUAAAUGAGGUUCUGGCUUGAUUUCUGGGCUUGGGCAUCAGACAUCUCCCUUUUGCGGACACCUACAGCUCUGUUCUUGAAUUUUGUGAUUGCGGAUAAGCACCCGCUCCUUCUUUUUAAGUCCUUUGGCAGAUAGUCAUUCAUGCUUACAGGAUGACCCAGGCAAAGCUAAACACAGAUCUGGGCUCCAAUCCCACCAUGGCUGUGUGACCUAGUGGAAGUUCCUUAACCUCUCUGAGCCUCAGCUUUCUUUUCCACAGAUUGCUGAUUAAAACACUUACUUUAGUGUUAACACAAGGGAAAGCUGGGCGUGGAGGUCUAUGAGAAUUCUCUAUACUAUUUUUGCAACUCUUUUGUGAAUAUGAAAUAAUCUAAACUAGAAGAUUUAAAAAAAAAAACAAACCCAAACACGUGCUUCCUAGGCUUUCUGAGGACUGGAGAUGGCAAAUGUGCGGUGCCCGGCAUGGAAUAGGUGUUCAUCAGCUUUGACACAGUGGAGGGACACGGCCCAACCAUCACGCCAGCCUGUACUCUUUCUCUUUCUUUUCCCUGCUGCAGCCUGUGCCACAGAUUAGGAAAACACAUUGAAGCAAUGCUGAAGGGGCAAUAGGAGUGGAAGGAGGUUAUCGAGUAUGAAACAGUACCCUUGAUACAGUGGGGAGAGGAGUGUUUCUCCACUUGGAAUUAUAAUCACAACCUUAAACACAAGUUUCGACCGCCAACUGACUGCUGCCUCCCUCUCUCACCAAGGGCUGGAGGCCACUGCAGAGCAAGACAAGGUGGGUCUGGCACAAGAUCCAUCCUAAAUCCAGCGAGAACAAAGAAGGCUCAGCAUCCUCCCCUGUGGCUGAUCCUGCUAUAAUGCUCCCUGGCAAGCUCAAUGCUUUGUGUCAUUCUGGAGCUCGGGGAAAGGUGAAAAAUACCAUGCAUCCAUGUUAGCUAUUAAAGCACGAGGAGUCCCUGAGUGUAUUUACAGGGGGGAGUUGGCGAGGGAAAGGCAAUUCCAUUAAACAAAGGGCAGGACACAGAGGAAGUUUGGAAGGAGGGUCGAUGGCUGAAAUGCUUCAUCCAAAUACAAUUCCGUCUCCCACCUGGAGGCUGCAGAAAAGCUGUGUCCAGCAAGAGAUUUACAACCCCAAGCAUUGCCUCCACUGGGUAAUAAACUGUGCUCUCUAAUCAAUAUCAGCGCUGGGCUGUCUGUCUGCAGCAUAGAUUCCCAUUUAGCAAAGCCACUGAGUAAUGGAAAACGCAAUCGAGUUGCAUAAUGAGUCUGGGUAAUUGGAUGGACUGGGCAGAAUGGUCCAGCUAAGUAUAUUCAGUCCGGCACAUUAAUUAAAAACUUGACACUUCAAGCGCCACCCAAAGUGCCCCAUUAAUUAUUCUGUGAAUCCAAAGGUCAGAUGUAGUGGAUGAGUUACAAGACGAUGAUAAAAUUGCUUGGCUCCGGGGCCAUCACAAGAGCAUGCAUUGCACCGAGGCCUGGACUCACCUGUAGCUUCAGUGGGAGUUGAACAGGCAGCCCUCUUCGCACUGGUGCCCUGCCAGUGCCGGAUCCAAGAGGAAGGACUGAGGCUGCCCAAGGUGCUGACACCAGCGCGGCCCUGCUUGUGAGUGAGCUCGCCCAUCUCCGCUUUCAUCUCAGAGAUCUGCAGGCACAGACAGGUAAAGGAAUUUGCCCACAGUCAGAAAUCAGCAGAUGAGAAUUCAAACCCAGACCGUGAAGAAUCAGAGCCACAGCAAGGUUAUUACAUGCAAGGAGAAACAAAUUUUGUGCUUAAAGUAAAAAGCAGAGUGGCAUUUCUUCUGUAAUGUAAGCAGCUGUGUGACUUUGGGCAAGUUGCUUCACCUCUGUAGGCCUCUGUUUGCCUGUCUGUAAUAAACAGAUCCCCCAUCUCUGGGACUUCAAAAGAGGAGAGGACGGUCAGCAGGGGUGGCCUGCUCAGAAGGGCCAUACUUCAUCCCCAAUGUCCCUCAACAACUCCAAGGGCAAUGCCACCCCAGACCUCACUGCCAGGCCUUCCAGAGUCCAACAAACUCGUGUCCCAUGACCACAGCUUGUUCCCUUGAUCUAUGUGCACCUGGGGAUGCUGGUGGCUGGGAGGUGAGUUCAUGAGGCCUCAGAUCCGCCCUUGAAGUCAGUACUGUCAUUCACCCAUUCUUCAGACGAGGACACAGAGGCCUGGGAAGAGUCAGCAAGGACAGAAGCUGGGUUCACAGCCCCUCAGGCCAGCUCCAGAGGCCUCAAUCUUCACCAGCAAUGUGCCUCUGGGCUUGAGAAGAUUGGACAGGAAGAACACAGGAAGCUCCAAGAAAAAAGAACUGAAACUGCACCAAGAGUCAAUGAUCUGCUGCCUCCUCAGACGUGCAGCAAUCUGACAACAUCCAUCAAAAUUAAAAGCGCGUGCACCCUUGACUUCACAAUGGCCUUCUAGGAAUUUACCCUCCCAACGCACUAGUGCACGUGUCUAAGAUACAAGGUUCUGCCGUAGCAGAACUGCUUACGGCAAUGAGUUUAUGGCCGCCCACACCCCCAGCCUCAAGUGAGGAGGCUCCAACUCCACAGCAGGUUGGCAGGGGCUGAGCUGUGCCCCUCCACUCAAUGGAAAUAUUUCCUGGACCAAAACGGAACUGCACCAGGGACCAAGACAGACAGGACCUCCUCCACCCCGUGGAAGGUAACAUGGAGAGAGGUCCCAGUGGAUCCACCAGAGAAAAGGAAUGUCCAUCUUAUCUUUCACCUAGAGUGGGAUCCAGUGCAAACCAGCACACACAGGAGGAUCCACUGUAGUUGCUGGAAUGUAAGAUGGACAUACCGUGUGUGUAUGUAUGGGAAACUUCUGGAAAAUGCAAUGUUGGGAUGAAGGAGGUAGGAGGCUUUUUCUUCCUAUUCUUAUGUCCUUCAGUCAUGGUUCAUUUGGUUUUGCACUCUCAUGAGCAUAUAUUAUUUUAUACUUAAAAAAAAGGGAUUGCAUUUCAAAACUUCCAUGACCAGCUCUGAAGUCAGUGGAUCAGAGGGAAUUCCCUGCUCACUCCUGGAACAGACCCCCUGCCCGACCUCCCUGGGCUCUGAGGGAACCACACCAGGACCAAGUUCAGAAGCUGACAGAUGCCAGUCAGUGAGCCCCAAGUCCGUGCUCUGAGCCUAGCUAGCACUCAAGCUUAGGACAGCAUAACUAUUUAUUUAACUGAUGGCUGCUGUCUUCAUUCAAAUGAUGCUUGCCGUGUUAGAAAUGAAUGCCCAUUGACUCUGUCACUGUGACAAAGUGCACCUGUGUUUAUCCCUCUGCUGCCAAGUCUGCAUGUUCAAUAUUUUGUCCAUCAAUUUUUAACUUUUUUAAAAAAUGGGACUUUGGUGAGGGAAUGAAGAGGCCAUCACUUUCCCAGGCAGAUAGCCUUUCUGCCUCCAUCCUCUCCUGGGGUUCUGCUUGAAGCCUGGUAGAGUCACAUCCCCAUGGGCCUUGACACUCAGAGGCCAUGCUCUCCCAAAGCUCUGGCUUUCUAACAGCCAGGGGACACUCCUGCUUGGGCUGAGACUUGUGCAGCUCUAGUAGGAAUGUCCCUCUGUGCUUAGAAAACACCCAAAGCUUGCCACGGCAUCCAGGCUGCCUACUGCACCCCUCACUCAGCCUUCUUGGGCCACCAGGUGCCCAUUCCAUGCCAAGCUUUGUCUCCUCAACAAAGUUGCUCUGCUUGAGCCAGUGAAUUCUGUCUCCAGGAGGCUGUGUCAUGGCUUUGUCUUCUACAAGCUCAUGCCCUGGAGGGAAGGACAGAGUGACUCUGACAUGUCAGCCCAUUCAGUCAUUCAUUCCUCAACUCUAAUAAAUUUCCUGCUGAGUGUCAGGUACUGGACUGGAUUUGGGGAAUCUGGUGAUGAACACAUCAGAUGGGGCCGGGCGCAGUGGCUCACACCUGUAAUCCCAGCACUUUGGGAGGCCGAGGCAGGAAGAUCACUUGAAGCCAGAGUUCAGGACCAGCCUGGCCAACAUGCUGAAACCCCGUCUCCACUAAACAUAAAAAAAUUAGCCAAGUGUGGUGGCGCAUGCCUGUAAUCCCAGCUACUCGGGAGGCUGAGGCAGGAGAACCGCUUGAACCCAGGAGGCAGAGGUGGCAGUGAGCCGAGAUCACACCACUGCACUCCAGCCUGGGCCUGUCUCCAAAAAAAAAAAAACAGAAAAAAAACACCACACACACACACUCUCCCCACAGGGCUCAGCUCAGUGAAGGAGCAGUGGGAAGGAGAAGGGUUUCCCUAGUGCAACCAGAGCUCCUGGUGAACACCCUUGCCCUGCCUCCCGCCCCACCUCCACUGCAGUGCCAGAAGCAAAAUGGUGCCCAGCACAGGCAAACAGCCAGGGCCAGAUGGAAGAGAGGGCUGCCAAGGAGCUGCAGACGUUGAGCAGCUUCCUGGGGCUGCAGUAUAGGAUCCCGGGCUGCACUGACACCACUGCAGGUGGUGUUUCCUGUCCUGUUUCCAGCACUGCCACACUGCCAGUGCUUACUGGCACUCCCUUGGGGACACGUUCCUUGACUCCAGUUCUCCAGGACCUUGUUUGCCCUUAACUUCUCAGGGCCUCUACUUCCUUAUUUGAAUACUGGGAUGGAAACAGCUGCCAUUUUGAGUGUCACUGCAUGCCUGGCUGUCUGCUAAGCCCUCUCUGUGCCUUGCCCCUGUGGGGCACCCCAGCAACCUGCAUGAUGGGCUACGCCUUUGCCCCCACAACACAAUGAAGAAACGAUAUCCUGAUCCCUCCACCAGGAUGGGAUGAGGACUGACUGAGAUGGUGUGUGAGAAAGCCUGGGCUUGCCUUGGGAAGGCCCAGUGACAGCUUCCUUCCUUCCUUCUGAAGGAUCUGCUGGAGGGCACAUGCCCGCCCACAUCUGGUUAGCGUGAAAUACACCAUCGAUGACCUGACCCUGCAGCUCCCACCACGUCUGGGAUGUGGCCUUGGAGGAGUGCCCAGAGGGCUCCCCUCUAGAAUUCUAGCACUGUGCCAUAAGUAACCCCAGAUGCAGGUCCCCUGGAUCUUCACAGAGCAACUCCAAGCCCACCCCCAGGACACCACGUGGCAGCCACAGGGGCCAACCUCCACCCUCUGGAGGAAACCCCCUGGUAUUUCUUCAUGGCCUUUAGUUCCUUAGAAUGUGAGCCCUGGUUCCUAUGAGCAGGAGGAAACGGAGAGAGAAGAGACAGGACAGGACAGAGGGGAGAGAGAGGAGAGAGGGGAGAGAGAGA